UACAGAGGUCUCAAGCGUUGUUCGGAUUCAUUGGGCGUAAAGGGUGCGUAGGCGGCGCGGUAAGUCGGGUGUGAAAUCUUGGAGCUUAACUCCGAAACUGCAUUCGAUACUGCCGUGCUUGAGGACUGGAGAGGAGACUGGAAUUUACGGUGUAGCGGUGAAAUGCGUAGAUAUCGGAAGGAAGACCAGUGGCGAAGGCGGGUCUCUGGACAGUUCCUGACGCUGAGGCACGAAGGCCAGGGGAGCAAACGGG
RNAcentral lists this ribosomal RNA (253 nucleotides) under uncultured bacterium. Its description in RNAcentral is "partial 16S ribosomal RNA". It matches the Rfam family "Bacterial small subunit ribosomal RNA", at positions 524 to 776 of the family's 1533-position model. The record is from RNAcentral.